UAGCGAAGGGUGCAAGCGUUUAAUCGGAAGUUACUGGGCGUAAAGGGUGCGUAGGCGGUUGUUUAAGUCUGCCGUGAAAUCCCCGGGCUCACCUGGAAUGGCGGUGGAUACUGGAUAGCUAGAGUGUGUCAGAGGAUGGUGGAAUUCCGGUGUAGCGGUGAAAUGCGCAGAUAUCAGGAGGAACACCGGUGGCGAAGGCGGGUCUCUGGGCCGUAACUGACGCUGAGGAGCGAAAGCGUGGGGAGCGAACAGG
Molecule: ribosomal RNA, 253 nt
Filed under: uncultured bacterium
Lineage: Bacteria
Description: partial 16S ribosomal RNA
Rfam family: Bacterial small subunit ribosomal RNA
Source: RNAcentral